RNAcentral lists this unclassified non-coding RNA (325 nucleotides) under fungal sp. RNAcentral describes it as "partial internal transcribed spacer region". The stretch from base 1 to 46 matches the Rfam family "Eukaryotic small subunit ribosomal RNA", at positions 1786 to 1831 of the family's 1831-position model. Lineage: Eukaryota; Fungi. The record is from RNAcentral.
AAGUCGUAACAAGGUUUCCGUAGGUGAACCUGCGGAAGGAUCAUUAACACGAACUAUUUAUUUAUCCAAUAACAAAACCAAACGUGAACUUUUCCCCUCCCUAUAUAUAUAUAACUAAUCAUUAUGUAUAUAUAGGCUAACCGCAAAACUAAAUUUUAACCUUUUUAGUUUUGCCUUUUAUUUUUAAUAUUUUAACCCCUUUAAACUUAACUAAGUUCGCGGUCGAAAGGCGGAACUUUACUAAUUAUUUCUAUAUAUGUAAUGUGUAUAGAUAAUUUUAUGAAAUUAUUAAGAACAACUCUUAACAAUGGAUAUCUUGGUUCUC